AUGCACCGCACAGCAGCUUUUUACUGCACCCCUCAUAUUCUGUCUAUCCAGAAAAAAGUUAAUGUAGCCAACCUGAGACUGUUGUCUUCAGAAGAUCUGCUCGCAUGGCUGGCCCUCAGCUGGGGUGAAGAAUAUGAAUUUCUGGAGAGUUCCCACCAUUCCCUAUCUGGUAAGAGUGGUUGGUAAUACCUAUGCUACUUGUACAUAUAGUGUUCAUCCCGGACACCUGCUUACUUCCGGGAGUCUGGAAAUUUGGUAUGGGCUAAGGAGAGAGUGCCUGUGUGGCCAGACCCCAGCAAAACUUUAGGCAUUCAUUCUCUAAUGAGUUUCCUGGUAGACAACAUUUCACACAUGUUAUCACAAUUCAAUGCUGGAGGAAUUAAGCACAUUCUGUGUGACUCUGUGGGGAAAGGACUCUUGGAAGCUAGUUCCUGGUUUCCUCUGGCCUUCUCUUCAUGUGCCUUUUCCCUUUGCUGAUUUUUUUUUAUCCUUUUCAUAUAAUGAAUUGUAGCUGCAAAUACAAAUAUUUGCCAAGUCCUAUGAGUCUGAGCAAAUCAUAGAACCUGGGGGUGGUCUGGAGGACCCCUGACCUGCCAUCUGUUGGCAAAUUCUGUCAGCAUUUCCUUCAAAAUACAUAUUGAAUAUGGCCAUUUCUCAGGUCCUCCUCUGCUUCCACCGUUGUCAGAAACAUCAUCUCUCUCUUAGCUGAUUCUCCUAACUGGUCUCCCUUUUUCCACUCCUCCUUUUUUCUGCAGCAGAGUGAACUGAUUGAAAUAUAAACACAACCUGUUUGUCACUCCUCUGCUCAAACCAUCCAAUGACCAAAAAUCCCAUGCAAGGAGAAAGCAAAGUGCUCACAUGACCUAAACAGCCUGGCUUCCUAUGGUCUCCUAGCCUGCAUAUCCUCCUUUUCGAGCCUCAUUCACUUCCCUCCAGCCAGCAGGUUUGUCUCACAAGCAUGUUCCCCACUUAGAGCCUUCAUACCCACAAUCAUUAGGUCCUGUGAUGUUCUGCCCAGGUAGAUCUGUGUGGUUUAAUCCUUAACUUCCUUUAGACUUUUUAUUACAUGUAACCUUCUGUACAAGGUCCUCCCUGGUUACCCUACCUAAAAUGUCAAUCCCCUCUCUUGUCCUCAUCUUUCUUUACUUUUCCUCGUUAACACUUAUCUAUGUGUUGCCUAUUUACCUUGUUUAUUGUCUGCGUAUCUGGAAUGUAACUUUCAAGCAAACAGGGAUUUUUGUCUGUUGUGUUCACUGACGUGUCUCCAGUGCCUACAACCAUUCCUGACAUCCUGAAAUACAGAAGUAACUGAAUAAACACUUGUUGAACAAAUGCA
Molecule: long non-coding RNA, 1336 nt
Filed under: Felis catus (domestic cat)
Lineage: Eukaryota; Metazoa; Chordata; Mammalia; Carnivora; Felidae
Description: lncRNA (ENSFCAG00000050376.1)
Source: RNAcentral